AAUAAUUUACCUUAUCCUUGGA
Molecule: microRNA, 22 nt
Filed under: Sarcophilus harrisii (Tasmanian devil)
Lineage: Eukaryota; Metazoa; Chordata; Mammalia; Dasyuromorphia; Dasyuridae
Description: Sha-Mir-7371-o15_3p (mature (co-guide))
Source: RNAcentral